Molecule: unclassified non-coding RNA, 2808 nt
Filed under: Owenia fusiformis
Lineage: Eukaryota; Metazoa; Annelida; Polychaeta; Sabellida; Oweniidae
Description: misc RNA OFUS_LOCUS27022
Source: RNAcentral
AUUGGUACAAAAUUGACCGACUACGCAUGAACUUUACUUCAAUCUGCACAAUAUACUAGUUCAGUGACUUCAACUAAAAUAUAAAAACAACAGCAAAAUCGGAGAUAUGUUUAGCGUGAAGAUUGAUUAAAAUACCCAAUGGAUCUUGACCGUAUAUAAGGUUUGUUGACCCACAAAAAUAUAACACUUAUUUAAAUCUACAGAGAGAUUACGCGUGGCAGAGAGUCAACCAUCAUGGAGUCGGGAUCAAAGGAGGACUUGGCUUUAGUAUUAAAAAAUGCAAGGGCAAAUCAUCAGUUCUAUAGUCAACAACAGGCGCCCCUUCAACAAGAAGCAAAUGGAAAAGCAAAUUCUCAAAAUGGCGACGUAUAUGACGGAUACCAAAGCGAGGCUGAAACUCGCCGUAGCGACAACAGACCACAGACAUUUAAAACACAUCAUGAUGAGGACGAUCCUGAUAAAGAAGAUGUUCUUGGGAGUCUUUAUGAGAACGCGAUAUCUGAGGCAGGAUUUGGGAAGUUCCAGUGGACAUUGCUAUUCGUUCUUGGCCUUGGAAUAAUGGGAGACGGCAUAGAGUUGUAUGUGGUGGCGUUUAUUCUACCAGGAGCAGAGAAAGAUUUAUGUAUGACGUCAGCCAUGAAAGGAUGGUUAGGUUCAGUAGGUUUUGCCGGUAUGUUAGUCGGAAGUUUAGUGUGGGGCAGUAUUGCUGACCGGAUAGGAAGAAAACCUUCUCUCCUUCUCUCGCUCUCCAUUAAUGCCAUCUUUUCAUUAGUAUGCGCAUUCAUGCUGACCUUUGAACUGUUCGUCAUGUGCCGAUUUAUCUGUGGAUUCGGGAUUGGUGGAUCUAUUCCCAUAACCGUGGCAUAUUUCCUUGAAUUCUGCCCCCGACAGCGUAGAGGUCGGCACAUCGGGAUGCUCUUGUUAUGGUGGACAAUGGCAGGACUGUAUGUCUCGAUUGCCGCGUGGAUAAUCAUCCCAUAUAAAGAAUUAGCUUUCCAUAUAAUGGGAUCGGACUUUCAUAGCUGGAGAAUCUGCCUUAUAGUCUGUGCGAUCCCAUGCUUAGCCUCCGUCAUUGGACUAUUCUUUAUGCCCGAGAGUCCCAGGUAUCUCUUAGAGGUCGGAAAAGAUUUAAAGGCUCUCUCGGUGUUCCGCCAGGUAUACCUGUGGAAUCAUGCUGAAGACGACUCGGAUGACGAAUACGAAAUGCCAGAAAUUCGUAUCCCCAAUAACAUGCCUGCAUCGCCAUCUAUACAAAAUGAAAAAGCUAAAAACUGCUUUCAUGAUUGCCAGUCAAAGUUCAAAAAUAUUUGCAGUUCAUUCAGGGAUAUAUUUGGUUCGUCCCUUAUUGUAACCACACUCAUUCUUACUGUCACAUGGUCAGCACUGACCUUUGGGUAUUACGGGAUGACCAUUUGGUUCCCUGAAUACAUGAAAAAACUCCAAAUGGAGGCUUACUUCCGUACUACUGAAUAUACUGCUAACUCUACAGUCCUAGGUGCCAACUUCACCCAUCAAACAGACAAUAUGGAGUACGACAACGUCAUGUUUGAUCACGUGACUUUUUACAAUAUAAUCCUGACGCAUGUCACAUUUCAAAAUUGUACAUUUCUUAAUUGUAUAUUUAAAAAUGUCACAUCUGCAAAAACGUCAUUUCUUUCAUCAAGUUUAUACAAUGUGACUUUUACACACACAGACUUUGUGGAUGCACAGUUCCAAAACACGCACUCUCGGAAUGUUUAUUUUGCUGAAAACAUGACGGGAUGUGCUGUAGAUUUUGAUAUUAACUACAGCGCACGUCAGGUGUAUUUUGAAAACUUUCUCGGUCAGUUAGCUGUGUUACCUGGAGGACUUGUUGUUGCCUUCUUGGUCGACUUCGUCGGCAGAAUUAGGUUACUAGCUGGAUCCAUGUUCCUAUGCGGGAUAAGUGUGUUUUUUAUUUGGCUGUUGGACAGAGAGCUGGGGGUGGUCAUUUUGAACUGCGUCUUCAUGUUGCUUGGCAAUAUCAGUUGGAACACCCUCGAGAUCAUCAGUGGAGAACUCUAUCCUUCUAGAACGAGGGGAACAGGUUUGGGGUACUUGAGCUGUAUAUCCAGGGUAGCUGCUGUACUGGGAAAUGUGUCUUUUGGCAAUUUGAUCGAUAUUAGUAAGUUUAUACCUAUUUUGCUGACAGCAAGCGUCAUGGCUAUUGGAGGGCUCGUGUCUACCAAACUGACUGACUCCAGAGACAUCAUGAUAUAGGUAAUACCGUAUAUACCAUUGGAAAGUGAGAGUUACGUGUGCAAUAUCUCUAUUCAAAAGAAGACACCAACUUUUGGAAUUAUUACUGUAAGUCCGUAAUAAAUCAGAACCAGCAGAUGAAUCGUCGAAUGGUGUCAUGGUGUUAAAUGAAGACAUCAUUAGUUCGCUAGCGGAAUGUUAAGGUUAUGAGGUAUAUGAUUCCUUCCAUAAGAGACUAGAACUAUUGCUAUGAACUACAUGUAUGAACUACGUUGAUAUAGCCAGCAAAUGAACAAUAGAGGCCAUGACUAACUCUUGUAUUUAUACAUUCUGAGAUGAUGAUUUAUAUAUCAACAUUUGAGUAUGAACCAUAUACAGACAUUAGGAUGGAUAUAUGGUUAUUGAGAAUGGAUAGUAUUAUAAUUUUGAGAUUUUGUCACAUUUGAGAAUGUACGUAAUGUCAAAAUAAUUUUACAUUUUACAAAACAGACUGAGUGGUUUGCAGAAUGAUGCAAUGGAUAUUGAAAAUGAAUUACAACACAUGCAAUUAAAACAUCACAGGCAUUUACGAAGAUUUAACGCAUUUGCAGA